AUCUUUCAUAGACACACACGUCAAACUAAUGAAGCAUAGCACAAGUUCAGUCAGGCAAGACCGAUCCCUGCACUCUGGCAUACUCGAUAAUGUCCACUAAUCACUCCUCCCGCUAAGAGCGCUCUACUUCUUCUGUUCCUAUUUCGGGCUUUCAUUACGGUUUUCUACCUGAGGUUUUUCUGCGCCGUCCUGAAAUCAGCUGGCCCGAGGUUGGCGAGGGACUCGAUGGGUGAAUCGUUGUUGCGUUGGUGUUCUAUUCCGCUUGGUCGUGAGUUCUGUCCUUUCCAGCGGAGGACGGAAUUCAGAGGGUAGGCCUACUUGACGCUGAUCGGGGAUCCCGUUGACGGUAAGGCCAUCAUAUAGGCUAGGCUACGGCCUGAGUAUGCUGAGGAAUCUGUCCCUGCAGGAUGCAGAAAAGGUCUUCAUCUCUGGACCAGUUUAUCAUCGGAGUGAAGUGGCAGAGUAUCUAAACAAUUGCUCACUGAAGGGAGACCAUUCAACCAGAUGAAGUCGGAUGGAGGUCUAGAUAGAGGUCUAGAUGGAGUGAUAUGGAGGGGAUGGAGUGAUAUGGAGGGGUGAUUGUCAUUGUUUAACAAUUAUUCAAAAUAAACAAUGUAUAUCUUG
Molecule: long non-coding RNA, 624 nt
Organism: Hypomesus transpacificus
Lineage: Eukaryota; Metazoa; Chordata; Actinopteri; Osmeriformes; Osmeridae
Exons: 4
Source: RefSeq, a predicted model, not a curated record